Molecule: long non-coding RNA, 1333 nt
Organism: Gossypium raimondii (Peruvian cotton)
Lineage: Eukaryota; Viridiplantae; Streptophyta; Magnoliopsida; Malvales; Malvaceae
Exons: 2
Source: RefSeq, a predicted model, not a curated record
UUGAAAAUAAAAACAAGAAAGGGAGUAAAUUAAAACACGUGUAACAGAAGGAGGACUGAAAAAACAAUUUACCCAAACCACCCAAAGCAUUGCGCAACAUUGUAUUAAAUCAAAACAUUAAUAAUGUUUCAUGGAAAAAUUUGAAAACAAACAACAAUAAUUUUGAAAUGGUGGGAUAAAAUGGAAGGAUUAAAAGCGUAAAUAACCCAUCAGUACUUAAAACCCUUUUCAAUCUCAAAUUUAAACGCUAUUCUGCAGCAGCAAUAGCUUUAAAAACUAUUUCAUCUUCUUCCCAACUCUUCACGCCAAAACCCCCCUCCCCUUUUAACUUCGAUUUGGACAAAGCGAAGAAAACUAUGCCGACGGCGCGCCUCUGCUGGUGAAGAACGUGCAUGGUGGGUGUGGGGAAUUGCUGAACGUGGGUGGAAACCGUUGCCAUGUCGUGGGCAGUUGCUGCGGCACUGAUUUACUUCAAUCUGCUUAGGGUUUCUGCUAUACCCUAUGUUCUUUUGGGCUAACAGGCUUGGGCUAGCAAUUUGGGCCUUAUUAGGCCGAAUUUGGGUUGUAAUAUGGACUCCCACUUAGUUUUAUUUCAAAUUGGGUUUUAAUGGGCCCGGGCAAAAUUGGGUAUUACAAGUAGUAUUCUAGCUAAAGGUAAAACUCAAAAGGGACAGAGAAUUGUUAAAAAUUAGAUUUCAAAUUCCUACUCUCCAUCAAACAAAAAUGAACAGGGAAGUGACAUCACGAGAAAGCAAGAACUCAAUAGAGAUUCGAUGUCAGAUUCGACUAAAAGUCAAGGGAUUGAACUGCACGCUAGGUAGAUAGGAGAAUAGGUUUCAAUGGAGGAGAAGGUUCUUCCUUCUGCGUUUCAAAUCUCAUCCUCGGUUAAGGGACAUUGCUCAUCAAUAAGGAAGAAUGGUCAAUAGAGUCACAUUUUAUCAGAGGGGAGCAAAAGUGAUAGUUUUGAGUCAAGACAACUCCGACGGUCAAUAUCGCCCAGAGCUAAGUGGUCGAAAUCAGCUGAGAUACAACUUACGGUCAGGUAAAGACGAGGAAGAACCCACCGGUAGUGAUAUUACCAACACCGGUCUUCAACUUUCACAACUACCACUCUUCAGGAUACCAAACCAAAAGGCUCCCACCUUGAUAUCAGGAAGAGAAUCGAAGGUGGGUAAUGGAAGUCCCAGUAGCAAGUCUCACGAAGAGGAUUCUCGAGGUUUAACUAGCAAACACUGUAACAACCUAAUUUUUAGUGGUGUCCAAAAUAGUGGUUACGGGACCACAGAUCCGACGAGUAAAUUCGUAAAUAUUAUUAUUUAAUUUUACGAGUCAA